GCGUUUCAUUAAACGUGAAACCAUCUGAUUUUGGGUCUGAAUUGGGCUUUGCUUUCAGAAACCAGAAGCUCUUCGCGUGAGGCCCAUCGAUCUAGAGUUUCGAAAGCGUUCUUUCAUCUUCUUCCUAAAAAUCAGAGAGAGUUGAUUUAAUCCUGCAGACCGUUUCAUAAUAUCUGACUCGAUUCUUAGUUCUCAGAGUUUUAGAGAUUCUAAGUUUUUCGCUUCUUAAAUUUUUGUGUUCAAAAAAAAAUUGUUUUUUACAGAGAAUUUGAAAGUGGAAGGGUAAAUUAAGAGGAGGAUCAUCGGGAGUAAAAGCAAACAAGAUCAUGAUUGUUAUCCUUCUCUUUUCUCUCCUCUUUGUUAUAAGGAUCAAAAUACAAAUCAUCAUCAUCGUUGAUCCUCCUCUUAAAUUCACACAUAGCUGAGUUUUUCUUUUUCAAAUAAAGCAACAACCGAUUUUCUUUGUGCAGGUAACGAUGUUCGAGAAUAGGUAUCCGUUCAGAGGAUCUUCUUCCGCCGGCAAAUACUCUUCGCCACCGCCGCCACAGACUGUCAAUGAGUCGGAUCUUAUUACGAAAUCGAUCACUCUGUUCUCCCUCUCAGAGUCUCAGAUCGCCACAGCAACUCAAGUCCAUCUGAAUCGUCAUGGUGAGCAAAAUCACUAGAAGCGAUUAACUCUCCUGGUGGAGAAUGUAUAUGUGUAAUAAUCAAUGUUUUUCCUGGUGGAGUACUGAAUCAUUAACUCUCCAAGCAGGAAUCUAUGUAUAUAUGAGUUACUUUGCCCAUGAAAGUGAAAGCGUGCCUUAAGGUUUAUGGUUUGUAUUUUUUUGGUUAUUCUCGGGAUUUAAUGGUUUUUGGUUUUCUCAAUUUACAGCGAGAGAAAGGUUAGCUUUUUACUUGAUGCGGAGGACACUAUUGCUGAAUACGAGAAUAAUGCAAAGGCGAAAAGAACAGAAAAACUGGAGAAACAGGAAGGCUAAGCACUUGAUCGUUUGAACAAUCUCGACCAUGUAACUAAAGUUGAGUUUUUACACCGCCUCAAUGACUUAAAAGAUGGGUUCCGGAGUUUGCUGGAGUCUGUUGGUACUUCAAGGGCGAUAACGUCUGAAGAUGUUGAGCAGAUGUUCUCAAAGAUGAAAAAUAAACGGAAAAGGAUGGAGUGAGUUUAGUAGUCAAUGAUCAGAGGAGGUAUGAGUAUAAUAAAGGUAUUAAAGUCGUUUCGUUUACACAUAAAGAUGUGUGUUUCGUUAGUUCAUCUCUGCUCUUUUAACUACCUUUAGCUCCUAAGUUAUGCAAACAACUAUGUACUUCAGGUAUGGAGCUUGAAGCUUUUGUGUAACUGCUCUGAUUAAUUGAUGUUAUAUUGGAUUGUG
This is a long non-coding RNA of Raphanus sativus (radish), 1373 nucleotides long. RefSeq lists it as uncharacterized. The transcript has 4 exons. NCBI's taxonomy places the organism in Eukaryota, Viridiplantae, Streptophyta, Magnoliopsida, Brassicales, Brassicaceae. The record is from RefSeq and is a predicted model, not a curated record.